RNAcentral lists this ribosomal RNA (427 nucleotides) under uncultured bacterium. RNAcentral describes it as "partial 16S ribosomal RNA". It matches the Rfam family "Bacterial small subunit ribosomal RNA", at positions 354 to 796 of the family's 1533-position model. The record is from RNAcentral.
GUGGGGAAUAUUGGGCAAUGGGGGAAACCCUGACCCAGCGACGCCGCGUGAGGGAAGAAGGCCUUAGGGUCGUAAACCUCUGUUGUGUGGGAAGAAGAGCGUGACGGUACCACACGAGGAAGUCCCGGCUAACUACGUGCCAGCAGCCGCGGUAAUACGUAGGGGACGAGCGUUGUCCGGAUUUACUGGGCGUAAAGGGCGCGUAGGCGGUCAUUUAAGUCAGCUGUGAAAUGGUGCGGCUUAACCGCAUCAUGCGGUUGAAACUGGAUGACUGGAGUGCUGGAGAGGCAAGUGGAAUUCCCAGUGUAGCGGUGAAAUGCGUAGAUAUUGGGAAGAACACCGGUGGCGAAGGCGACUUGCUGGCCAGCAACUGACGCUGAGGCGCGAAAGCCAGGGGAGCAAACGGGAUUAGAAACCCCAGUAGUCC